Molecule: ribosomal RNA, 492 nt
Filed under: Triticum aestivum (bread wheat)
Lineage: Eukaryota; Viridiplantae; Streptophyta; Magnoliopsida; Poales; Poaceae
Description: partial small subunit ribosomal RNA
Source: RNAcentral
AUGCGUUGCCGCACCAGACUCGGCCUCCUUCCUAUUCUUUCGUCGAUCUCCCUCGACUUGGUCUUCGUACGUCGAGAUCGAGAGAGGCUCUUACCUGGGAGGCUGGGAGAGAGCAGUCAGGCAGCGGCGAUGACUCGAAGCACAGUCCGACGGUGGCGGCUAGCGCGACGCCCGCAGCCACCUCACACUCCCUCGAUCUUCAUCCUAUUAGCUUUCGCCACUGUCACGCCGGUCCAGGCCCUGCCUCUGCCCGAGGCCAUGCUAGGGCGCCGCCACCCACCUCAUCCCCUUUGCACACCCAAUCUCUCUUUCAGAUUCAGACCCAGGCUGCUCAUCGGUGUCGAUCCCCAGCCGAAGCAUGAACAUCGAUCCAGGCAGGCCUCCUCUACGAAUUCAGCCACUGGGGCAUGGCUCCCCUGCGGUUUGAAUCUGGGCGCUCGUCAACAGAGCAGCCAGAGAGGUGAGCUCUGGCUUUGGAUGCGUGGAGGGUAG